GGAAGCUAGCAAAAAGAUGAUUACCAAAUUUUCCACUAAAUCCAAAGAAUCAUAGGAUGAGACUAAGAAAUUGAAUUUUAACUAAAAUCAAAUGGAAUUCUAACAUCUAUAGAACUAAAGCUUACUAAGAAACACCAUAAAUUCGGUCCACUAAAUAUCAUAAUUAACAAAGGUGAGUACGAAGAAAUAACGAAAUAAAAGAUAACAAACGAUCAUUUACGAAGUCAAAAAAAUAUUCACAUCUAAAUAUGCUAGGCAUAAAAGUAAAAGGGCUAAAAAUCAAAACUAGCUACGUCUAACGUUCACUCGGUCUCAGCCCCGCCCGGCAAAUCGGUCUCG
RNAcentral lists this long non-coding RNA (339 nucleotides) under Ananas comosus (pineapple). RNAcentral describes it as "long non-coding RNA (ACOM_LNC025849)". Lineage: Eukaryota; Viridiplantae; Streptophyta; Magnoliopsida; Poales; Bromeliaceae. The record is from RNAcentral.